AGAGUUUGAUCCUGGCUCAGAGUGAACGCUGGCGGCGUGGAUUAGGCAUGCAAGUCGAACGAUCUUAUAGUUGCGAUGCGGUGGUAGCAAUACUAYCGCAAAGUUGCUGUUUGAUAGUGGCAAAAGGGUGCGUAAUACAUGGGUAAUUUACCCUUAGGUUCGGAAUAACUUCGCGAAAGYGAGGCUAAUACUGGAUAAGACCCCGGCCCGGCAUCGGGCUGAGGUUAAAGGGGAGGACCGUAAGGCUUCCCACCUUUGGAUGAGCCCGUGUCCUAUCAGCUAGUUGGUGAGGUAACGGCCCACCAAGGCUUUUGACGGGUAGCUGGCCUGAGAGGGUGGUCAGCCACAUUGGGACUGAGACACUGCCCAGACUCCUACGGGAGGCUGCAGUCGAGGAUCUUUAGCAAUGGGCGAAAGCCUGACUAUGCGACGCCGCGUGGAYGAUGAAGGCCUUCGGGUUGUAAAGUCCUGUUAGGGGGGAUGAAUGUCCCGGUUCUAAUACAACCGGGAUUUGACAGUACUCCCAGAGAAAGCCACGGCUAACUCCGUGCCAGCAGCCGCGGUAAUACGGAGGUGGCAAGCGUUACUCGGAUUUACUGGGUGUAAAGGGUAUGUAGGCGGGCUUGUAAGUCAGGCGUGARAUCCCUUGGCUCAACCAARGAACUGCGYUUGAAACUGCUUGUCUUGAGUGCGGGAGAGGAGAACGGAAUUCCCGGUGUAAGGGUGAAAUCUGUAGAUAUCGGGAGGAACACCUGUGGCGAAGGCGGUUCUCUGGUCCGCAACUGACGCUGAAAUACGAAAGCUAGGGGAGCAAACAGAAUUAGAUACCCUGGUAGUCC
RNAcentral lists this ribosomal RNA (839 nucleotides) under uncultured bacterium. RNAcentral's name for it is "bacterial SSU rRNA". It matches the Rfam family "Bacterial small subunit ribosomal RNA", at positions 8 to 796 of the family's 1533-position model. The record is from RNAcentral.